RNAcentral lists this ribosomal RNA (797 nucleotides) under uncultured bacterium. Its description in RNAcentral is "bacterial SSU rRNA". It matches the Rfam family "Bacterial small subunit ribosomal RNA", at positions 8 to 794 of the family's 1533-position model. The record is from RNAcentral.
AGAGUUUGAUCAUGGCUCAGAUUGAACGCUGGCGGCAGGCCUAACACAUGCAAGUCGAGCGGUAGCACAGGAGAGCUUGCUCUCUGGGUGACGAGCGGCGGACGGGUGAGUAAUGUCUGGGAAACUGCCUGAUGGAGGGGGAUAACUACUGGAAACGGUAGCUAAUACCGCAUAACGUCUUCGGACCAAAGUGGGGGACCUUCGGGCCUCACGCCAUCAGAUGUGCCCAGAUGGGAUUAGCUAGUAGGUGGGGUAAUGGCUCACCUAGGCGACGAUCCCUAGCUGGUCUGAGAGGAUGACCAGCCACACUGGAACUGAGACACGGUCCAGACUCCUACGGGAGGCAGCAGUGGGGAAUAUUGCACAAUGGGCGCAAGCCUGAUGCAGCCAUGCCGCGUGUGUGAAGAAGGCCUUCGGGUUGUAAAGCACUUUCAGCGAGGAGGAAGGGUAGUGUGUUAAUAGCACAUUGCAUUGACGUUACUCGCAGAAGAAGCACCGGCUAACUCCGUGCCAGCAGCCGCGGUAAUACGGAGGGUGCAAGCGUUAAUCGGAAUUACUGGGCGUAAAGCGCACGCAGGCGGUUUGUUAAGUCAGAUGUGAAAUCCCCGCGCUUAACGUGGGAACUGCAUUUGAAACUGGCAAGCUAGAGUCUUGUAGAGGGGGGUAGAAUUCCAGGUGUAGCGGUGAAAUGCGUAGAGAUCUGGAGGAAUACCGGUGGCGAAGGUGGCCCCCUGGACAAAGACUGACGCUCAGGUGCGAAAGCGUGGGGAGCAAACAGGAUUAGAUACCCCGGUAGU